RNAcentral lists this unclassified non-coding RNA (342 nucleotides) under Hevea brasiliensis (rubber tree). The record is from RNAcentral. Lineage: Eukaryota; Viridiplantae; Streptophyta; Magnoliopsida; Malpighiales; Euphorbiaceae.
UGGGUCUUGGCUUUAGUAUGUGCAGAAAGCUUGUACAGCUAAUGCACGGAGACAUAUGGGCUGUGCCGAAUUCCCAAGGCGUCGUCGAGAGCAUGACUUUGAUUCUCCGAUUCCAACCUCAACUCACUUCCGAAUAAGAUUUCCUCGACAUCAGUUCUGUACAGCCUCAGAGCUCUGCCUUAUGCAGAUUAAAUUGGUGUACCAGUAAUGAUCACUGCGGGGAUCCUCACAAGCCAGUUUUACUCUCGAGGUACCAAGAGUUGAACUUUGUGUGUUCUUCAGAAUGUCUAGAACUAGGCCAAUUAUUUACCUUUAUGCCACGAAUCAAAACUUAAAUAAAAA